RNAcentral lists this ribosomal RNA (449 nucleotides) under uncultured bacterium. RNAcentral's name for it is "partial 16S ribosomal RNA". It matches the Rfam family "Bacterial small subunit ribosomal RNA", at positions 29 to 523 of the family's 1533-position model. The record is from RNAcentral.
AGCGAACGCUGGCGGCAGGCCUAACACAUGCAAGUCGAACGAAGUCUUCGGACUUAGCGGCGGACGGGUGAGUAACACGCGGGAACGUACCUUUUGGUUCGGAAUAACUGAGGGAAACUUCAGCUAAUACCGGAUAAGCUCUUCGGAGGAAAGAUUUAUCGCCAUUAGAGCGGCCCGCGUUGGAUUAGGUAGGUGGUGUGGUAAAGGCGCACCAAGCCUAUGAUCCAUAGCUGGUCUGAGAGGUUGAUCAGCCACAAUGGGACUGAGACACGGCCCAGACUCCUACGGGAGGCAGCAGUGGGGAAUCUUGCGCAAUGGUCGAAAGACUGACGCAGCCAUGCCGCGUGAAUGAUGAAGGUCUUAGGAUUGUAAAAUUCUUUUAGCAGGGACGAUAAUGACGGUACCUGCAGAAAAAGCCCCGGCUAACUUCGUGCCAGCCGCCGCCGUAA